UACAGAGGGUGCGAGCGUUGUCCGGAAUCACUGGGCGUAAAGGGCGCGUAGGUGGUGGCUUAAGCGUGCGGUGAAAGCUCGGAGCUCAACUCCGAGUCGGCCGUGCGAACUGGGCUCACUGGAGCAUAGUAGAGGCAGGUGGAAUUCCUGGUGUAGCGGUGGAAUGCGCAGAUAUCAGGAAGAACACCCGUGGCGAAGGCGGCUCUCUGGAACGCAACUGACGCUGAGACGCGAAAGCGUGGGGAGCAAACAGG
This 254-nucleotide ribosomal RNA is filed under the name uncultured bacterium. RNAcentral describes it as "partial 16S ribosomal RNA". It matches the Rfam family "Bacterial small subunit ribosomal RNA", at positions 524 to 776 of the family's 1533-position model. The record is from RNAcentral.